UAGGGAAUCUUGCGCAAUGGGCGAAAGCCUGACGCAGCCAUGCCGCGUGAAUGAUGAAGGUCUUAGGAUUGUAAAAUUCUUUCACCGGGGAAGAUAAUGACGGUACCCGGAGAAGAAGCCCCGGCUAACUUCGUGCCAGCAGCCGCGGUAAUACGAAGGGGGCUAGCGUUGCUCGGAAUUACUGGGCGUAAAGGGCGCGUAGGCGGAUAUCUAAGUUGGGGGUGAAAGCCCGGGGCUCAACCUCGGAAUAGCCUUCAAUACUGGAUAUCUUGAGUUCGGGAGAGGUGAGUGGAAUGCCGAGUGUAGAGGUGAAAUUCGUAGAUAUUCGGCGGAACACCAGUGGCGAAGGCGACUCACUGGCCCGAUACUGACGCUGAGGCGCGAAAGCGUGGGGAGCAAACAGG
Molecule: ribosomal RNA, 404 nt
Filed under: uncultured bacterium
Lineage: Bacteria
Description: bacterial SSU rRNA
Rfam family: Bacterial small subunit ribosomal RNA
Source: RNAcentral